GACGAACGCUGGCGGCGUGCCUAAUACAUGCAAGUUGAGCGCUGAAGGUUGGUACUUGUACCAACUGGAUGAGCAGCGAACGGGUGAGUAACGCGUGGGGAAUCUGCCUUUGAGCGGGGGACAACAUUUGGAAACGAAUGCUAAUACCGCAUAAAAACUUUAAACACAAGUUUUAAGUUUGAAAGAUGCAAUUGCAUCACUCAAAGAUGAUCCCGCGUUGUAUUAGCUAGUUGGUGAGGUAAAGGCUCACCAAGGCGAUGAUACAUAGCCGACCUGAGAGGGUGAUCGGCCACAUUGGGACGGAGACACGGCCCAAACGCCUACGGGAGGCAGCAGUAGGGAAUCUUCGGAAAUGGACGAAAGUCUGACCGAGCAACGCCGCGUGAGGGAAGAAGGUUUUCGGAUCGUAAAACUCUGUUGGUAGAGAAGAACGUUGGUGAGAGUGGAAAGCUCAUCAAGUGACGGUAACUACCCAGAAAGGGACGGCUAACUACGUG
This 497-nucleotide ribosomal RNA is filed under the name uncultured bacterium. Its description in RNAcentral is "partial 16S ribosomal RNA". It matches the Rfam family "Bacterial small subunit ribosomal RNA", at positions 28 to 507 of the family's 1533-position model. The record is from RNAcentral.